This 468-nucleotide ribosomal RNA is filed under the name uncultured bacterium. RNAcentral's name for it is "partial 16S ribosomal RNA". It matches the Rfam family "Bacterial small subunit ribosomal RNA", at positions 28 to 507 of the family's 1533-position model. The record is from RNAcentral.
GAUGAACGCUGGCGGCGUGCUUAACACAUGCAAGUCGAACGGUAAGGCCCAGCUUUCUGGGUGUGUUCGAGUCGAACAGGGGAGUGACACAUGAGUAUAAUCCGCUCAUCACUUGGGGAUAACUUCAGGAAACGGGGUCUAACACGGGAGAGGAGUUCCCGGUGCAGGGGGGGUUGUGGAAAGUUUCGGCGGUUGGGGAUGGACUCGCGGCUUAUCAGCUUGUUGGUGGGGUAGUGGCUUACCAAGGCUUUGACGGGUAGCCGGCCUGAGAGGGUGACCGGCCACACUGGGACUGAGAUACGGCCCAGACUCCUACGGGAGGCAGCAGUGGGGAAUAUUGCACAAUGGGCGCAAGCCUGAUGCAGCGACGCCGCGUGCGGGAUGACGGCCUUCGGGUUGUAAACCGCUUUCGGCAGUGACGAAGCGUAAGUGACGGUAACGGGUGAAGAAGCACCGGCUAACUACGUG